GGCCCCGUGGUGUAACGGUUAGCACGCCAGGUUUUCAACCUGGAAGCGCGGGUUCGACUCCCGCCGGGGCUA
Molecule: transfer RNA, 72 nt
Filed under: Solirubrobacterales bacterium 67-14
Lineage: Bacteria; Bacillati; Actinomycetota; Thermoleophilia; Solirubrobacterales
Also listed under: 2 other names
Description: tRNA-Glu
Rfam family: tRNA
About the family: Transfer RNA (tRNA) molecules are approximately 80 nucleotides in length. Their secondary structure includes four short double-helical elements and three loops (D, anti-codon, and T loops).
Source: RNAcentral